UACGUAGGUGGCGAGCGUUGUCCGGAUUUACUGGGCGUAAAGGGCGUGCAGGCGGUUUGUUAAGUGCAGGGUGAAAGCUCCCGGCUCAACUGGGAGAGGUCCUUGCAUACUGGCGAACUCGAGGGAGGCAGAGGAAAGUGGAAUUCCCGGUGUAGUGGUGAUAUGCGUAGAUAUCAGGAGGAACACCGAUGGCGAAGGCAGCUCGCUGGGACGGUACUGACGCUGAGGCGCGAAAGCGUGGGGAGCAAACAGG
RNAcentral lists this ribosomal RNA (253 nucleotides) under uncultured bacterium. RNAcentral's name for it is "partial 16S ribosomal RNA". It matches the Rfam family "Bacterial small subunit ribosomal RNA", at positions 524 to 776 of the family's 1533-position model. The record is from RNAcentral.